AGAGUUUGAUCCUGGCUCAGGAUAAACGCUGGCGGCGCACAUAAGACAUGCAAGUCGAACGGACUUAACCUAUUCUUAACGAUUAGGAGCGGUUAGUGGCGGACUGGUGAGUAAUGUAUAAGUAACCUGCCUAUCAGAGGGGAACAACAGUUGGAAACGACUGCUAAUACCGCAUAUGCCACGAGAAUCACAUGGUUCAAGUGGGAAAGGAGCAAUCCGCUGAUAGAUGGACUUAUAUCUGAUUAGCUAGUUGGUGGGGUAACGGCCUACCAAGGCGACGAUCAGUAGCCGGACUGAGAGGUUAAACGGCCACAUUGGGACUGAGAUACGGCCCAGACUCCUACGGGAGGCAGCAGUCGGGAGUAUUGCGCAAUGGAGGAAACUCUGACGCAGUGACGCCGCGUGCAGGAAGAAGGUUUUCGGAUUGUAAACUGCUUUAGACAGGGAAGAAAAAAGACAGUCCUGUAGAAUAAGCUCCGGCUAACUACGUGCCAGCAGCCGCGGU
RNAcentral lists this ribosomal RNA (505 nucleotides) under uncultured bacterium. RNAcentral describes it as "bacterial SSU rRNA". It matches the Rfam family "Bacterial small subunit ribosomal RNA", at positions 8 to 521 of the family's 1533-position model. The record is from RNAcentral.